Molecule: long non-coding RNA, 852 nt
Filed under: Physcomitrium patens
Lineage: Eukaryota; Viridiplantae; Streptophyta; Bryopsida; Funariales; Funariaceae
Description: long non-coding RNA (PPAT_LNC007223)
Source: RNAcentral
GGGUUGGGCUAAAAAAUCCUUAAGAUAAGAUAGAUUGAUACCCAGGGGUCGACCGUUUGUGAGAUAUGGUUGAAAUCAGACCUCUGACCACUAAAAUGAUGGCCUAGGGCAAAAUAAGGUUUCAAUCAAUGAUCCGAGGUUAGGGUUUGAGAGCUAGCUUGAAGUUCUUUCUAAAGACAUAAGAAUUGUUAUGAGAAGGUUUUGGAAGGAUUAGCAAUUGAUGUUCAAAGUCAAGGUUUGUAUCAGUGAUUUGGGUUUUAUAUAAUAUAAUUAGGGCUUGCAAUUUUGGCUAGUUCAUGCAAUUGGCAUGACAUCUAUAGUUGAAAAAUUUGAUAUUGUUUGGAUUAUUAGAUUUUCUAAGUGUUAAAAAAAAUUUGUGAUAAUCUAAUGAAGUGGUUUAGAGAUAUCUAGUUUUUAGGACAAGAGGGUUUCAGAAGGUGGCAGUUUGAGGUUGGGUAGGGUUUCUAUGAUAUCUAAAGAUCUAUCAGUCGGAUUAUAGUGAAAAUUAACAUGGUGUUAGAAGACUUAAAGAUCAAGCUACACACAAAUUUUGAGACAAAGUUAAUGGUUGGAGAAGGAGAAAUAAUUUGCUUUACUUUUCAAGUUAGCAUCCAAGUAACAUUGGUGCAAUUUUUGGAGGUUUUCUCAUAAUCUGUAAGUUGGAUUGGGCUAAAAAUUCUUGAGAAUUUAGAAGACUUGCAUUGACAAUUGCAUGCAAAAUUCCACAUCAAGUGGACAGUUGGAUUGGAUAUUACAGCUUCUUAAAGCUCACUGAUUAGGAUUGGGGUUUACAAGAAAAAAUCUAAAUUGCUUAAAUAUGAAAGUAACAAGGUAAUUGGGAUUUAUGUAUGG